RNAcentral lists this ribosomal RNA (331 nucleotides) under uncultured eukaryote. RNAcentral describes it as "partial 18S ribosomal RNA". It matches the Rfam family "Eukaryotic small subunit ribosomal RNA", at positions 1470 to 1795 of the family's 1831-position model. The record is from RNAcentral.
CCCUUAGAUGUCCUGGGCUGCACGCGCGCUACACUGGAAGUUACGGAUUGAGAUACUACCUUGUCCGAAAUGGUCCGGGUAAUCACCUAAAAGCUUGUCAUAAUUGGAAUGGAUUAUUGUAACUAGUAAUCCUGAACGAGGAAUUCCUAGUAAGUCCCAGUCAACAGCUGGUACUGAUUACGUCCCUGCCCUUUGUACACACCGCCCGUCGCUACUACUGAUUGGACGUUUAAGCAAGAUUUUUAAACACUGACAGUGUGUAGCUCACGCUAUACUACAGUGAGAAGAAGAAGAUCGAGCUUACUUGUCUAGAGGAAGUAAAAGUCGUAAC